AUGAGUAUCAUCUGCUAGAACUGUCGAGGCCUGGGGUCGGACUCGACAGUUGGCGAGCUUCACUGGCUUGUGAAGCUCUACCGACCCUCCCUCCUCUUUCUUUCAGAGACAAAGAUGAGGGAUUCGAAAGUAAAGAAUUUCAUGUGGUCUUUGGGUUAUUCUGGUUGUUUUGUCGUCAGCGGCGAGGGGCUCAGUGGGGGCCUUGCUCUCUUCUCGUCACAUACAGCGGCAGUGACAGUUAGGGCUGCCAAUAAGCAGUGUAUAGAUGUCAAGGUCCAGCUGGAGGAGGUGUGCCUUGGUGGGCUUCUUUUGUCUAUGGGGAACCAAGGAGAGAGGAACAAGUUCACUUUUGGGAGCUCCUUCGACAUAUGCAUCCUUCCUGGACGGGUCCUUGGAUUUGUUGUGGUGAUUUCAGCGAAGUUCUUAUUCAGGAUGAACACUGUGGUCCUAGGGAGCGGUUGUACUUGCAAAUGGCUGCCUUUCGGGAUUGUUUGA
This 495-nucleotide ribosomal RNA is filed under the name Triticum aestivum (bread wheat). Its description in RNAcentral is "partial small subunit ribosomal RNA". The record is from RNAcentral. Lineage: Eukaryota; Viridiplantae; Streptophyta; Magnoliopsida; Poales; Poaceae.